AGUGAACGCUGGCGGCGUGCUUAACACAUGCAAGUCGAACGGAAACAGGAUGAAGCCUAGCGAUUCCUGUUUUAGUGGCGGACGGGUGAGUAACGCGUGGGUAACCUGCCUUACACUGGGGGAUAACAGUUAGAAAUAGCUGCUAAUACCGCAUAAGCGCACAGGGCCGCAUGGCCUGGUGUGAAAAACUCCGGUGGUGUAAGAUGGACCCGCGUCUGAUUAGCUAGUUGGUGAGGUAACGGCCCACCAAGGCGACGAUAAGUAGCCGGCCUGAGAGGGUGAACGGCCACAUUGGGACUGAGACACGGCCCAAACUCCUACGGGAGGCAGCAGUGGGGAAUAUUGCACAAUGGGGGAAACCCUGAUGCAGCGACGCCGCGUGAGUGAAGAAGUAUUUCGGUAUGUAAAGCUCUAUCAGCAAGGAAGAAAAUGACGGUACUUGACUAAGAAGCCCCGGCUAACUACGUGCCAGCCGCCGCAGUAA
Molecule: ribosomal RNA, 484 nt
Filed under: uncultured bacterium
Lineage: Bacteria
Description: partial 16S ribosomal RNA
Rfam family: Bacterial small subunit ribosomal RNA
Source: RNAcentral